Molecule: ribosomal RNA, 478 nt
Filed under: uncultured bacterium
Lineage: Bacteria
Description: partial 16S ribosomal RNA
Rfam family: Bacterial small subunit ribosomal RNA
Source: RNAcentral
GAUUAACGCUGGCGGCGUGCAUAACACAUGCAAGUCGAACGAUGAAACUCAUUAGAUUUCUUCGGAAUGAAAAUGAAUGGAUUAGUGGCGAACGGGUGAGUAACGCGUGAGUAACCUGCCUUACACAAGGGGAUAGCCUCUGGAAACGGAGAAUAAUACCCUAUGAAACCAGACAAUCGCAUGAUAAUCUGGUCAAAAUGUUUAGUGGUGUAAGAUGGACUUGCGUCUGAUUAGCUAGUUGGUGAGAUAAAAGCUCACCAAGGCAACGAUCAGUAGCCGGCUUGAGAGAGUGUACGGCCACAUUGGGACUGAGACACGGCCCAGACUCCUACGGGAGGCAGCAGUGGGGAAGUUUGCACAAUGGGGGAAACCCUGAUGCAGCGACGCCGCGUGAUUUAGAAGGCCUUCGGGUUGUAAAAAUCUUUUGUAUAGGAAGAAAAUGACAGUACUAUACGAAUAAGGUCCGGCUAAUUACGUG